RNAcentral lists this ribosomal RNA (465 nucleotides) under uncultured bacterium. RNAcentral's name for it is "partial 16S ribosomal RNA". It matches the Rfam family "Bacterial small subunit ribosomal RNA", at positions 28 to 507 of the family's 1533-position model. The record is from RNAcentral.
GACGAACGCUGGCGGCGUGCUUAACACAUGCAAGUCGAACGGAAAGGCCCUGCUUGCAGGGUCCUCGAGUGGCGAACUGGUGAGUAACACGUGGGUGCUCUGCCCUGCACUUCGGGAUAAGCCUGGGCAACUGGGUCUAAUCCCGGAUAGGAGCCAUUUUUAGUGUGAUGGUUGGAAAGUUUUUUCGGUGUAGGAUGAGCUCGCGGCCUAUCAGCUCGUUGGUGGGGUAAUGGCCUACCAAGGCGGCGACGGGUAGCCGGCCUGCGAGGGUGGACGGCCACAUUGGGACUGAGAGACGGCCCAGACUCCGACGGGAGGCAGCAGUGGGGAAUAUUGCACAAUGGGCGCAAGCCUGAUGCAGCGACGCCGCGGGGGGGAUGACGGCCUUCGGGUUGUAAACUCCAUUCGCUAUGGACGAAGCUUUUUGUGACGGUACCUAGAUAAGAAGCACCGGCUAACUACGUG